UGUUAUUUGCAGUUUAAAACGCAGUGCAUUUAAUUUUGUCAACCAUGAGUUCUUUCAGAAUUAUUAUUUCAUUAUUCGUCAUUGUCAUGUUUGUGCAGACGAUUUCUGCGCAAUGCAAUGGCGACAGAAACGCUGAACAGUCAGAUUGCAGCAACUUCUGCUUCCAAAACUGCGAGAAAAAUUUAUUCUGUACUCUCGAGUGUCAGAUAGGGUGUAGUUGCAAGCGGGGAUACUUGUUCGAUGGUGCAAGGAACGCCUGUGUCGCGGAGCAGGAGUGCAGUAAUCGGCAGUAAGGAAAAAACGUGACGUAUCGAAAGUAAAACUUCAAAUUAAGUAACGAAGCGCUUCAGUAGCAACACUGCAAGUCCAAUAUAAUUUCUUCGUCCCUUUUUACGCCAUAUUAGAUGUCUAAUUAUAAGCUAAAAUAUUAUUUACUGACGCGUUUUAUACCCUACCGGAGUCCUGAAACAAGAUGGCGGCACACGACCCAGCUGUUGUUAACCAUUGUCAAAUUAUUAUGAAUCCUCUUCACGAGAGUUAUUACUUAUUAAAUUGAAGGAAUUGAUAAAUAUUCCACACAUAAGCGUGCUUGUUUGUUGAUUUUGACAUAAAAUAUGUUUAUGCAAAAAAUUUUUCAAAAUCGGUUCAUCCAGUCAGAGGCUCGAGAUUUAAGAACCUCGUUUAUGAAGUCGAUUGAAAAUGUCGACGAAACUGUACUAUAUUUCUGACUAAACACCAUUAUAAAUAAAUGAAUGAUAAAACAAUAAA
Long non-coding RNA from Trichoplusia ni (cabbage looper), 768 nucleotides. RefSeq lists it as uncharacterized. The transcript has 3 exons. Lineage: Eukaryota; Metazoa; Arthropoda; Insecta; Lepidoptera; Noctuidae. The record is from RefSeq and is a predicted model, not a curated record.